RNAcentral lists this ribosomal RNA (2438 nucleotides) under Escherichia coli. RNAcentral describes it as "partial 23S ribosomal RNA". It matches the Rfam family "Bacterial large subunit ribosomal RNA", at positions 498 to 2915 of the family's 2925-position model. Lineage: Bacteria; Pseudomonadati; Pseudomonadota; Gammaproteobacteria; Enterobacterales; Enterobacteriaceae. The record is from RNAcentral.
GUACCGUGAGGGAAAGGCGAAAAGAACCCCGGCGAGGGGAGUGAAAAAGAACCUGAAACCGUGUACGUACAAGCAGUGGGAGCCUCUUUAUGGGGUGACUGCGUACCUUUUGUAUAAUGGGUCAGCGACUUAUAUUCUGUAGCAAGGUUAACCGAAUAGGGGAGCCGAAGGGAAACCGAGUCUUAACUGGGCGUUAAGUUGCAGGGUAUAGACCCGAAACCCGGUGAUCUAGCCAUGGGCAGGUUGAAGGUUGGGUAACACUAACUGGAGGACCGAACCGACUAAUGUUGAAAAAUUAGCGGAUGACUUGUGGCUGGGGGUGAAAGGCCAAUCAAACCGGGAGAUAGCUGGUUCUCCCCGAAAGCUAUUUAGGUAGCGCCUCGUGAAUUCAUCUCCGGGGGUAGAGCACUGUUUCGGCAAGGGGGUCAUCCCGACUUACCAACCCGAUGCAAACUGCGAAUACCGGAGAAUGUUAUCACGGGAGACACACGGCGGGUGCUAACGUCCGUCGUGAAGAGGGAAACAACCCAGACCGCCAGCUAAGGUCCCAAAGUCAUGGUUAAGUGGGAAACGAUGUGGGAAGGCCCAGACAGCCAGGAUGUUGGCUUAGAAGCAGCCAUCAUUUAAAGAAAGCGUAAUAGCUCACUGGUCGAGUCGGCCUGCGCGGAAGAUGUAACGGGGCUAAACCAUGCACCGAAGCUGCGGCAGCGACACUAUGUGUUGUUGGGUAGGGGAGCGUUCUGUAAGCCUGUGAAGGUGGCCUGUGAGGGUUGCUGGAGGUAUCAGAAGUGCGAAUGCUGACAUAAGUAACGAUAAAGCGGGUGAAAAGCCCGCUCGCCGGAAGACCAAGGGUUCCUGUCCAACGUUAAUCGGGGCAGGGUGAGUCGACCCCUAAGGCGAGGCCGAAAGGCGUAGUCGAUGGGAAACAGGUUAAUAUUCCUGUACUUGGUGUUACUGCGAAGGGGGGACGGAGAAGGCUAUGUUGGCCGGGCGACGGUUGUCCCGGUUUAAGCGUGUAGGCUGGUUUUCCAGGCAAAUCCGGAAAACCAAGGCUGAGGCGUGAUGACGAGGCACUACGGUGCUGAAGCGACAAAUGCCCUGCUUCCAGGAAAAGCCUCUAAGCAUCAGGUAACAUCAAAUCGUACCCCAAACCGACACAGGUGGUCAGGUAGAGAAUACCAAGGCGCUUGAGAGAACUCGGGUGAAGGAACUAGGCAAAAUGGUGCCGUAACUUCGGGAGAAGGCACGCUGAUAUGUAGGUGAAGCGACUUGCUCGUGGAGCUGAAAUCAGUCGAAGAUACCAGCUGGCUGCAACUGUUUAUUAAAAACACAGCACUGUGCAAACACGAAAGUGGACGUAUACGGUGUGACGCCUGCCCGGUGCCGGAAGGUUAAUUGAUGGGGUUAGCGGUAACGCGAAGCUCUUGAUCGAAGCCCCGGUAAACGGCGGCCGUAACUAUAACGGUCCUAAGGUAGCGAAAUUCCUUGUCGGGUAAGUUCCGACCUGCACGAAUGGCGUAAUGAUGGCCAGGCUGUCUCCACCCGAGACUCAGUGAAAUUGAACUCGCUGUGAAGAUGCAGUGUACCCGCGGCAAGACGGAAAGACCCCGUGAACCUUUACUAUAGCUUGACACUGAACAUUGAGCCUUGAUGUGUAGGAUAGGUGGGAGGCUUUGAAGUGUGGACGCCAGUCUGCAUGGAGCCGACCUUGAAAUACCACCCUUUAAUGUUUGAUGUUCUAACGUUGGCCCGUAAUCCGGGUUGCGGACAGUGUCUGGUGGGUAGUUUGACUGGGGCGGUCUCCUCCUAAAGAGUAACGGAGGAGCACGAAGGUUGGCUAAUCCUGGUCGGACAUCAGGAGGUUAGUGCAAUGGCAUAAGCCAGCUUGACUGCGAGCGUGACGGCGCGAGCAGGUGCGAAAGCAGGUCAUAGUGAUCCGGUGGUUCUGAAUGGAAGGGCCAUCGCUCAACGGAUAAAAGGUACUCCGGGGAUAACAGGCUGAUACCGCCCAAGAGUUCAUAUCGACGGCGGUGUUUGGCACCUCGAUGUCGGCUCAUCACAUCCUGGGGCUGAAGUAGGUCCCAAGGGUAUGGCUGUUCGCCAUUUAAAGUGGUACGCGAGCUGGGUUUAGAACGUCGUGAGACAGUUCGGUCCCUAUCUGCCGUGGGCGCUGGAGAACUGAGGGGGGCUGCUCCUAGUACGAGAGGACCGGAGUGGACGCAUCACUGGUGUUCGGGUUGUCAUGCCAAUGGCACUGCCCGGUAGCUAAAUGCGGAAGAGAUAAGUGCUGAAAGCAUCUAAGCACGAAACUUGCCCCGAGAUGAGUUCUCCCUGACUCCUUGAGAGUCCUGAAGGAACGUUGAAGACGACGACGUUGAUAGGCCGGGUGUGUAAGCGCAGCGAUGCGUUGAGCUAACCGGUACUAAUGAACCGUGAGG